Molecule: ribosomal RNA, 253 nt
Filed under: uncultured bacterium
Lineage: Bacteria
Description: partial 16S ribosomal RNA
Rfam family: Bacterial small subunit ribosomal RNA
Source: RNAcentral
UACGUAGGGUGCAGGCGUUAAUCGGAAUUACUGGGCGUAAAGCGUGCGCAGGCGGUUUGCUAAGACAGGUGUGAAAUCCCCGGGCUUAACCUGGGAACUGCGCUUGUAACUGGCAAGCUUGAGUGUGGCAGAGGGGGGUGGAAUUCCACGUGUAGCAGUGAAAUGCGUAGAUAUGUGGAGGAACACCGAUGGCGAAGGCAGCCCCCUGGGUUAACACUGACGCUCAUGCACGAAAGCGUGGGGAGCAAACAGG